ACUCAAAGGAAUAGACGGGGGCUCACACAAGCGGUGGAGCAUGUGGAUCAAUUCGAAGCAACGCGAAGAACCUUACCUGGGUUUGACAUGUACGGAUGCUCUCGGUGAAAGCUGAGUAGGCUGCCUUCGGGUGAAACGUGCACAGGUGCUGCAUGGCUGUCGUCAGCUCGUGCUGUGAAGUGUCGGGUUAAGUCCCUUAACGAGCGAAACCCUUAUCGUUAGUUGCCAGCGGGUCAUGCCGGGAACUCUAACGAGACUGCCGGCGUUAAGCCGGAGGAAGGCGGGGACGACGUCAAGUCAUCAUGGCCUUUAUGUCCAGGGUGUCACACGUGCUACAAUGGGACGUACAGAGCGAAGCAAUGCCGUGAGGCCGAGCAAAUCGCAGAAAACGUCCCUCAGUUCGGAUUGGGGUCUGCAAUUCGACCCCAUGAAGUUGGAAUCGCUAGUAAUCGCGUAUCAGCCAUGACGCGGUGAAUGUGUUCCUGAGCCUUGCACACACCGCCCGU
This 506-nucleotide ribosomal RNA is filed under the name uncultured bacterium. Its description in RNAcentral is "partial 16S ribosomal RNA". It matches the Rfam family "Bacterial small subunit ribosomal RNA", at positions 899 to 1397 of the family's 1533-position model. The record is from RNAcentral.